AGAGAGGUUGAGUAACUUACCCAAGUUUUCAUAGCCGAUCAAUCGUGGAAACAAGAUUUAAACCCAGGCAGUUUUUCUCCAGAGCCUGCCUUCUUUUUCACCACUAAACAUAAAUGUCAACAGAGAGAUGUGUGAGGGCUGAUUGUGAGCAUGUCUUCCCAAGUCUGAAUUCAGUGACCUCACAUUAGUAGCCUGAAAUCAGCUGUGGUAAAUGUAUUCCCACCAUGGAAAUCAGUAAAUGCUGUAAUCAGAGCUCCUCUUGCCUCUCCGGAGCUGGUUGCUAAACAUUUACCAGCACACCACUGGUUACAGACACAUUUGGAAAGCUGUUUGACGGAAUAUUGCAGGUAGGAGCAUAAAUCCAGUCCCUGGUACUCCAUCUUGGCCAGAGUAGAAGUCCAAGUAGCAAUUUUCCUGAAAUGGAAUAAAUGAAGGCUUUAAGAGGAUGGUGGACCUGAGCAGGAUGGGCAACAGGAAGCAGAUAUGACAUACCCAGUAUUCUUGGUUCUUACCUGGAAAUUUUGGUUUUGAAAGGGGAAAACAUUUCCUGAGCUGCAGACAUCACAGAAGUGUCCCUGCCCACCCGCUCCGUCAUCUCACAACAGACAGGUUCAUCUGAGAAAUGUAUUGGAAGCAGCACUUGCCCCAUCUGUCUGUCCUGGCUCCACUACAGUGCCCGCCAUGACCAGGGUUUGUCCACUAGCUGGAGAUCAUACUAUUACAACAAAGAGGCUACUUACAUGGGGCUCUUUCUAAGUGAGCAGAGUCAGCUCAAAUUCUGCACAAGAGACAAUCUACCUGCCAACUCUGGUCUGCAGCAUGAGGAGCUCUUUUGCUGAUGGGCAAAAGGUUUGAAUCCUGGUUCCACCAUGGCUAAUUGGGUGACAGUGGACAACCUACUUUCUGGGCCCCAGUUUCUUAUGUGGUAGACAAUGGAGAACUUCAAAGGGGAAGACACUGCCUUGGCUCCCUGAAGUGUGGAUAUGGCCCACUCUCAUUCUGCUGCUUGGACUCACCAAACUCUGGCCUCCUUUAUCUCUGAGUUGAACUUUUAAGGCAAGACAAUCCCUCCUAAGGAAACUGAAGUUCUAACUUUCCCAAGACCAAAGAGGCUUAAUCUCAGAUCACGGAAUUUACAAUGUUGGAAAAACUCCACCUCAUAAUUACUUCUCAAUCAUCUCCUUCUUUCUAUCUCAUUCACAAAUAUAGCCUUCAAGCAAUUUAUUCAAAAUGUCACUAAUCAGGAAGGAAAAUAAUUAUUUCAGGAGGAGAGGUGUUAGUUUUACCACUGAUUGCUGUGUGACUCUUGAGAAAGCACUGCUGGUUUAAGUGAGUGGGUUUGAAAAUCACAAAGGUUAGUAAGGAGGUGGUGGCAGAGGACCAGGCAAUUUUAAAAUAUGGUAUUGCCCAACACCAUUUAUUAAAGAGACUCUUUUCUCCAUUGUGUAUUCCUUCCUCCUUUGUCAUAGAUUAAUUGACCACAUAGGCGUGGAUUUAUUUCUGCACUCUCUAUUCUGUUCCAUUGAUCUGUGUCUGUUUUUGUGCCAGUACCAUACUGUUUUGAUUACCAUAGCUUUGUAGUAUAGUUUGAAAUCAGGAAGCAUGAUACCUCUAGCUUUGUUCUUCUUUUUAAAGAUUGCUUUGGCUAUUUGGGGGCUUUUGUGGUUCCAUACAAAUUUUAGGAUUCUUUGUUCUAGUUCUGUGAAAAAGAUUAAUUAAUAUAUUACAAAGAAGGCAAGAAUAUACAAUGGGAAAAAUACAGUCUCUUCAAUAAAUGGUGCUGGGAAAACUGGACAGAAACACGAAAAAGAAUGAAACUGACCACUUCCUUACACCAUAUAUGAAAAUAAACUUAAAAUGGAUUAAAGACUUAAAUAUAAGACCUGAAACUAUAAAACUCCUAGAAGAAAACAUAG
This is a long non-coding RNA of Equus caballus (horse), 1916 nucleotides long. The record is from Ensembl. Lineage: Eukaryota; Metazoa; Chordata; Mammalia; Perissodactyla; Equidae.